GACGAACGCUGGCGGCGUGCUUAACACAUGCAAGCCGAACGGAAAGGCCCUGCUUUUGUGGGGUGCUCGAGUGGCGAACGGGUGAGUAACACGUGAGUAACCUGCCCUUGACUUUGGGAUAACUUCAGGAAACUGGGGCUAAUACCGGAUAGGAGCUCCUGCUGCAUGGUGGGGGUUGGAAAGUUUCGGCGGUGGGGGAUGUACUCGCGGCUUAUCCGCUUGUUGGUGGGGUAGUGGCUUACCAAGGCUUUGACGGGUAGCCGGCCUGAGAGGGUGACCGGCCACAUUGGGACUGAGAUACGGCCCAGACUCCUACGGGAGGCAGCAGUGGGGAAUAUUGCACAAUGGGCGGAAGCCUGAUGCAGCAACGCCGCGUGCGGGAUGACGGCCUUCGGGUUGUAAACCGCUUUCGCCUGUGACGAAGCGUGAGUGACGGUAAUGGGUAAAGAAGCACCGGCUAACUACGUG
RNAcentral lists this ribosomal RNA (468 nucleotides) under uncultured bacterium. Its description in RNAcentral is "partial 16S ribosomal RNA". It matches the Rfam family "Bacterial small subunit ribosomal RNA", at positions 28 to 507 of the family's 1533-position model. The record is from RNAcentral.